UACAGAGGCGGCAAGCGUUGUUCGGAAUUAUUGGGCGUAAAGAGCACGUAGGCGGCUGUGUAAGUCGGUUGUGAAAGCCUUCCGCUCAACGGAAGAACGGCAUCCGAUACUGCAUGGCUUGAGUGUGGGAGGGGAGAGUGGAACUUCUGGUGGAGCGGUGAAAUGCGUAGAUAUCCAGUGGAACACCGGUGGCGAAGGCGGCCUUCUGGACAGUGACUGACGCUGAAAUGCGAAAGCGUGGGGAGCAAAC
This 250-nucleotide ribosomal RNA is filed under the name uncultured bacterium. Its description in RNAcentral is "partial 16S ribosomal RNA". It matches the Rfam family "Bacterial small subunit ribosomal RNA", at positions 524 to 773 of the family's 1533-position model. The record is from RNAcentral.